AGAAUAUAAUCAGCAUAAAUAAAAUAAUAACUGCACUCAUUAUUUAAUUAAAAAUUAAAUAACUCAUCCCAUGGAAUGUCUCCAAAGGGACAAAUUGGUAAGUAAACAACAAACUUUGUUUAAAAAGGAAAUUAGCCUGUGAUUUGAGAUCAAUAAAAAAGAAAAGUAGGCCCACUUUUCCGACCGAGGGAACUUUCAUUAAAGAACAAGUGAAAGAAUCUACGAGAACGAUAUAAAUGGAUAGCUAGAUGAAUAUAAAAAUGAUUUUGUCAAAGAAGCGGUUCACAUUUAGUGGUUCAUCAAAUCAUUUAAUA
RNAcentral lists this unclassified non-coding RNA (314 nucleotides) under Hevea brasiliensis (rubber tree). Lineage: Eukaryota; Viridiplantae; Streptophyta; Magnoliopsida; Malpighiales; Euphorbiaceae. The record is from RNAcentral.